Molecule: ribosomal RNA, 497 nt
Filed under: uncultured bacterium
Lineage: Bacteria
Description: partial 16S ribosomal RNA
Rfam family: Bacterial small subunit ribosomal RNA
Source: RNAcentral
GAUGAACGCUGGCGGCGUGCCUAAUACAUGCAAGUCGAGCGAACAGACGAGGAGCUUGCUCCUCUGACGUUAGCGGCGGACGGGUGAGUAACACGUGGAUAACCUACCUAUAAGACUGGGAUAACUUCGGGAAACCGGAGCUAAUACCGGAUAAUAUAUUGAACCGCAUGGUUCAAUAGUGAAAGACGGUUUUGCUGUCACUUAUAGAUGGAUCCGCGCCGCAUUAGCUAGUUGGUAAGGUAACGGCUUACCAAGGCAACGAUGCGUAGCCGACCUGAGAGGGUGAUCGGCCACACUGGAACUGAGACACGGUCCAGACUCCUACGGGAGGCAGCAGUAGGGAAUCUUCCGCAAUGGGCGAAAGCUUGACGGAGCAACGCCGCGUGAGUGAUGAAGGUCUUCGGAUCGUAAAACUCUGUUAUUAGGGAAGAAAAAAUGUGUAAGUAAAUAUGCACGUCUUGACGGUACCUAAUCAGAAAGCCACGGCUAACUACGUG